GAUCCAGCCAUGCCGCGUGAGUGAAGAAGGCCUUCGGGUUGUAAAGCUCUUUCGCAAGGGAAGAAAACUUACCUACUAAUACUGGGUGAGGAUGACGGUACCUUGAUAAGAAGCACCGGCUAACUUCAUGCCAGCAGCCGCGGUAAU
RNAcentral lists this ribosomal RNA (147 nucleotides) under uncultured bacterium. RNAcentral's name for it is "partial 16S ribosomal RNA". It matches the Rfam family "Bacterial small subunit ribosomal RNA", at positions 385 to 524 of the family's 1533-position model. The record is from RNAcentral.